AAUACAUGCAAGUUGAGCGCUGAAGGUUGGUACUUGUACCGACUGGAUGAGCAGCGAACGGGUGAGUAACGCGUGGGGAAUCUGCCUUUGAGCGGGGGACAACAUUUGGAAACGAAUGCUAAUACCGCAUAAAAACUUUAAACACAAGUUUUAAGUUUGAAAGAUGCAAUUGCAUCACUCAAAGAUGAUCCCGCGUUGUAUUAGCUAGUUGGUGAGGUAAAGGCUCACCAAGGCGAUGAUACAUAGCCGACCUGAGAGGGUGAUCGGCCACAUUGGGACUGAGACACGGCCCAAACUCCUACGGGAGGCAGCAGUAGGGAAUCUUCGGCAAUGGACGAAAGUCUGACCGAGCAACGCCGCGUGAGUGAAGAAGGUUUUCGGAUCGUAAAACUCUGUUGGUAGAGAAGAACGUUGGUGAGAGUGGAAAGCUCAUCAAGUGACGGUAACUACCCAGAAAGGGACGGCUAACUACGUGCCAGCAGCCGCGGUAAUACGUAGGUCCCGAGCGUUGUCCGGAUUUAUUUGGGCGUAAAGCGAGCGCAGGUGGUUUAUUAAGUCUGGUGUAAAAAGGCAUUGGCUCAACCAUUUGUAUGCAUUGGAAACUGGUAGACUUGAGUGCAGGAGAGGAGAGUGGAAUUCCAUGUGGAGCGGUGAAAUGCGUAGAUUUAUGGAGGAACACCGGGUGGCGAAAGCGGCUCUCUGGCCUGUAACUGACACUGAGGCUCGAAAGCGUGGGGAGCAAACAGGAUUAGGAUACCCUGGUAGUCCACGCCGUAAACGAUGAGUGCUAGAUGUAGGGAGCUAUAAGUUCUCUGUAUCGCAGCUAACGCAAUAAGCACUCCGCCUGGGGAGUACGACCGCAAGGUUGAAACUCAAAGGAAUUGACGGGGGCCCGCACAAGCGGUGGAGCAUGUGGUUUAAUUCGAAGCAACGCGAAGAACCUUACCAGGUCUUGACAUACUCGUGCUAUUCCUAGAGAUAGGAAGUUCCUUCGGGACACGGGAUACAGGUGGUGCAUGGUUGUCGUCAGCUCGUGUCGUGAGAUGUUGGGUUAAGUCCCGCAACGAGCGCAACCCCUAUUGUUAGUUGCCAUCAUUAAGUUGGGCACUCUAACGAGACUGCCGGUGAUAAACCGGAGGAAGGUGGGGAUGACGUCAAAUCAUCAUGCCCCUUAUGACCUGGGCUACACACGUGCUACAAUGGAUGGUACAACGAGUCGCGAGACAGUGAUGUUUAGCUAAUCUCUUAAAACCAUUCUCAGUUCGGAUUGUAGGCUGCAACUCGCCUACAUGAAGUCGGAAUCGCUAGUAAUCGCGGAUCAGCACGCCGCGGUGAAUACGUUCCCGGGCCUUGUACACACCGCCCGUCACACCACGGGAGUUGGGAGUACCCGAAGUAGGUUGCCUAACCGCAAGGAGGGCGCUUCCUAAGGUAAGACCGA
Molecule: ribosomal RNA, 1441 nt
Filed under: Lactococcus lactis subsp. lactis
Lineage: Bacteria; Bacillati; Bacillota; Bacilli; Lactobacillales; Streptococcaceae
Description: bacterial SSU rRNA
Rfam family: Bacterial small subunit ribosomal RNA
Source: RNAcentral